Molecule: ribosomal RNA, 406 nt
Filed under: uncultured bacterium
Lineage: Bacteria
Description: partial 16S ribosomal RNA
Rfam family: Bacterial small subunit ribosomal RNA
Source: RNAcentral
AUUGAACGCUGGCGGCAGGCCUAACACAUGCAAGUCGAACGAGUGGCGGACGGGUGAGUAAUGUAUGGGAAACUGCCCGAUAGAGGGGGAUAACUACUGGAAACGGUAGCUAAUACCGCAUACCAUCGGAUGAGCCCAGAUGGGAUUAGCUAGUAGGUGGGGUAACGGCGCACCUAGGCGACGAUCCCUAGCUGGUCUGAGAGGAUGAACAGCCACACGGUAACUGAGACCCGGCCCAGCCUCCUACGGGAGGCAGCAGUGGGUAAUAUUGCACAAUGGGCGCAAGCCUGAUGCAGCCAUCCCGCGUGUAUGAAGAGGGCCUUCGGGUUGUAAAGUACUUUCAGCGGGGAGGCGUUACUCGCAGAAGAAGCACCGGCUAACUCCGUGCCAGCCGCCGCGGUAAUUC